GAUGAACGCUGGCGGCGUGCCUAAUACAUGCAAGUCGAGCGAACAGACGAGGAGCUUGCUCCUCUGACGUUAGCGGCGGAAGGGUGAGUAACACGUGGAUAACCUACCUAUAAGACUGGGAUAACUUCGUGAAACCGGAGCUAAUACCGGAAAAUAUAUUGAACCGCAUGGUUCCAUAGUUAAAGACGGUUUUGCUGUCACUUAUAGAUGGAUCCGCGCCGCAUUAGCUAGUUGGUAAGGUAACGGCUUACCAAGGCAACGAUGCGUAGCCGACCUGAGAGGGUGAUCGGCCACACUGGAACUGAGACACGGUCCAGACUCCUACGGGAGGCAGCAGUAGGGAAUCUUCCGCAAUGGGCGAAAGCCUGACGGAGCAACGCCGCGUGAGUGAUGAAGGUCUUCGGAUCGUAAAACUCUGUUAUUAGGGAAGAACAAAUGUGUAAGUAACUAUGCACGUCUUGACGGUACCUAAUCAGAAAGCCACGGCUAACUACGUG
This 497-nucleotide ribosomal RNA is filed under the name uncultured bacterium. RNAcentral describes it as "partial 16S ribosomal RNA". It matches the Rfam family "Bacterial small subunit ribosomal RNA", at positions 28 to 507 of the family's 1533-position model. The record is from RNAcentral.